This 374-nucleotide non-coding RNA is filed under the name Candidatus Pacebacteria bacterium RIFCSPHIGHO2_01_FULL_46_10. RNAcentral describes it as "bacterial SSU rRNA". It matches the Rfam family "Bacterial small subunit ribosomal RNA", at positions 1 to 393 of the family's 1533-position model. Lineage: Bacteria; Bacillati; Minisyncoccota. The record is from RNAcentral.
UUUUUUGAGAAUUUGAUCCUGGUUCAGGAUGAACGCUGGCGGUGUGCCUUAAGCAUGCAAGUCGUGCGGGUUUUGUCGCAAGACAGAAUCAGCGGCAAACGGGUGAGUAACGCGUAGGGAUCUACCUUUUCGUGGGGGAUAGCUCGCCGAAAGGCGGGGUAAUACCGCAUGUGAUCGCGAGAUGAAAGUCGUAAGACGCGAAAAGAGGAACCUGCGCCCCAUCAGGUUGUUGGCGGGGUAAUAGCCCACCAAGCCUAUGACGGGUAGCCGGAGUGAGAGCUCGAUCGGCCACAAGGUAACUGAGACACGGUGCCUACACCUACGGGUGGCAGCAACUGGGAAUCUUGCGCAAUGGACGAAAGUCUGACGCAGCG